AUUCCUACGGGAGGCAGCAGUAAGGAAUCUUCCACAAUGGGGGCAACCCUGAUGGAGCAACGCCGCGUGAAGGAUGAAGGCCUUAGGGUCGUAAACUUCUUUUGUUAGCGAAGAAUAUGACGGUAACUAACGAAUAAGGGCCGGCUAACUACGUGCCAGCAGCCGCGGUCAUACGUAGGGCCCGAGCGUUAUCCGGAGUGACUGGGCGUAAAGAGUUGCGUAGGCAGCUUAAUAAGUGGAUAGUGAAACCUGGUGGCUCAACCAUACAGACUAUUAUCCAAACUGUUAAGCUCGAGAAUGGUAGAGGUGAUUGGAAUUUCUAGUGUAGGAGUGAAAUCCGUAGAUAUUAGAAGGAACACCAAUGGCGUAGGCAGAUCACUGGACCACUUCUGACGCUAAGGCACGAAAGCGUGGGGAGCGAACCGGAUUAGAUACCCGGGUAGUCCACGCCGUAAACGAUGGAUGCUAGCUGUGGGGGGUAUCGACCCCCUCCGUAGCGAAGCUAACGCGUUAAGCAUCCCGCCUGUGGAGUACGGCCGCAAGGCUAAAACAUAAAGGAAUUGACGGGGACCCGCACAAGCGGUGGAGCGUGUUCUUUAAUUCGAUGAUAAACGAAGAACCUUACCAGGGCUUGACAUCCCGAGAAUUUUGUCGAAAGACGAGAGUGCUUUAUUGAACUCGGUGACAGAUCCUGCAUGGCCGUCGUCAGCUCGUGUCGUGAGAUGUUUGGUUAAGUCCAUCAACGAGCGCAACCCUUGUGAUUAGUUGAAUUUUUCUAAUCAUACUGCCCCGGUAACGGGGAGGAAGGAGGGGAUGAUGUCAGGUCAGUAUUAGUCUUACGUCCUGGGCUAGAAACGCGCUACAAUGGCCAGUACAACGGGCAGCCAACCCGCAAGGGGGAGCAAAUCCCAUCAAAACUGGUCCCAGUUCGGAUAAGAGGCUGAAACUCGCCUCUUUGAAGUCGGAAUCGCUAGUAAUCGCAGAUCAGCAUGUUGCGGUGAAUACGUUCCCGGGCCUUGUACACACCGCC
This 1030-nucleotide ribosomal RNA is filed under the name uncultured bacterium. RNAcentral's name for it is "bacterial SSU rRNA". It matches the Rfam family "Bacterial small subunit ribosomal RNA", at positions 335 to 1394 of the family's 1533-position model. The record is from RNAcentral.